GGGUUCUGUGUUAAAUUCCGUACGGACCGCACGCGUUCCGCACAGUGGACGGCGGCCUUUAGAAAAGCCAGAAUGAGUAUUUAGAAAACGAGCAUUUGUAUUCCAAUAUGGCUGACAGGAAGGCUCCUAUGUGCAGACAACCCAAUUUUGGAACUGUACUGAAGGCCAUUGUCACAAGCACGCUGCAUGGCUACGAGGAGUCGGCUUCGUGCCUGUCGUUCGGCGGUUCGGCCGGUGUGCUGGUCUCCGGCUGUCUUGGCGGCGAGCUGCGUCUUUGGCGACCCCAUUCGGGACGCACCACACUGCUGGCCCUACAGCAGAAGGCACACCGCCUGGGUGUUACCUGCUGCCAUAAUCUAUUAUCCAUCAGCAAACCAUAUGUAUGUUUUCUUUCUGAAUAAAAAUGUGCCUGGGCAAGUAAA
Amphibalanus amphitrite is the source of this 422-nucleotide long non-coding RNA. RefSeq lists it as uncharacterized. The record is from RefSeq and is a predicted model, not a curated record. The transcript is spliced from 3 exons. Lineage: Eukaryota; Metazoa; Arthropoda; Thecostraca; Balanomorpha; Balanidae.